UACGUAAGGGGCUAGCGUUGCUCGGAAUCACUGGGUGUAAAGGGCGUGUAGGCGGAUAUACAAGUCGAAUGUAAAAUCCCACAGCUCAACUGUGGAUCUGCGUUCGAAACUGUAUAUCUUGAGUCUGGUGGAGGGUGGUGGAAUUCCCGGUGUAGCGGUGAAAUGCGUAGAUAUCGGGAAGAACACCGAAGGCGAAGGCAGUCACCUAUGCCAAGACUGACGCUGAGGAGCGAAAGUAUGGGGAUCAAACAGG
Molecule: ribosomal RNA, 253 nt
Filed under: uncultured bacterium
Lineage: Bacteria
Description: partial 16S ribosomal RNA
Rfam family: Bacterial small subunit ribosomal RNA
Source: RNAcentral